GCUCAUGCGGGGCCAGCGGGCGGGGUAAUACGGAAGGGGGUGGCGUUGUGCGGACUUACUGGGCGUAAAGCGUGCGUAGGGGGCCAUGCAAGGGAGGCGUGAAAGGCCUGGGCUCAACCUGGGAACUGCGCGUCAGACUGCACGGCUUGAGUCCGGGAGAGGGUGGUGGAAUUCCCAGUGUAGAGGUGAAAUUCGUAGAUAUUGGGAGGAACACCAGUGGCGAAGGCGGCCACCUGGCCCGGUACUGACGCUCAAGUGCGAAAGCGUGGGGAGCAAACAGGAUUAGAUACCCGGGUAGUC
This 300-nucleotide ribosomal RNA is filed under the name uncultured Methanotorris sp. Its description in RNAcentral is "bacterial SSU rRNA". It matches the Rfam family "Bacterial small subunit ribosomal RNA", at positions 496 to 795 of the family's 1533-position model. Lineage: Archaea; Methanobacteriati; Methanobacteriota; Methanococci; Methanococcales; Methanocaldococcaceae. The record is from RNAcentral.